UACAAACUCUUCAUGUUUAAAUUCUGACGUACCCGUCCAUCAAGUCCAGACUCAGAUUACAGACUGUUUAGAUCUUGACGUUUUCGUCAGGUCCAAAUUCAUAUCACAGAUAUAUAGAUUAGAAGUAUCAAGUGGAAUAGUACUUUAUCCUGCAUAGUACUUAACUUUCAUACUUUUGACUGGUAUUCAGCUUUGAUACUAAUUAUAACGAUCUGAUCUGCUAGCAACAAUAAUUUGUUGGGCCCUAAACCACCGGUUCAAAAUAUUUAAAUCCAGUCAAUAUUAAUAAGAUGAAGAUCUUAUACAUUCCAAUCAAAUUCUUUUUUUUCUUUCGAUGCGAGACUAUUGGAAUAUUACACAACACUUUGUUGCCGUUAAGU
RNAcentral lists this long non-coding RNA (380 nucleotides) under Ananas comosus (pineapple). RNAcentral describes it as "long non-coding RNA (ACOM_LNC038363)". Lineage: Eukaryota; Viridiplantae; Streptophyta; Magnoliopsida; Poales; Bromeliaceae. The record is from RNAcentral.